GCGGGCGUAGUUUAGUGGUAAAACCUCAGUCUUCCAAACUGAUGAUGUCGGUUCGAUUCCGUCCGCCCGCACCA
This 74-nucleotide transfer RNA is filed under the name Ruficoccus sp. ZRK36. RNAcentral's name for it is "tRNA-Gly". It matches the Rfam family "tRNA". From Rfam's summary of the family: Transfer RNA (tRNA) molecules are approximately 80 nucleotides in length. The record is from RNAcentral. RNAcentral also lists the same sequence under 1 other name. Lineage: Bacteria; Pseudomonadati; Verrucomicrobiota; Opitutia; Puniceicoccales; Cerasicoccaceae.